AUUUUAGCACAAUUCGAUGCAAGCAUAAUAAAGACAUUAAUUAUUUUUGGGAUUCAGCCAUAAUUGUGUAUCUAUUUCUUGCUUUUUCUUGGACCAGCAUAUGCAUCUGUGAAAAAGACAACUAACUCUCAGAGCAGGAGAACAAAUCCCAUCGCAAUCAUCUGAAGUAUGACAUUUUCUCAGUGCUGCCACCUUAAAGGAUGAAAUAUCUGCAAUUAUAUACAAGAAAAUUGUAAGAAAUUCAUUAUAUUGCAUACGAGUUUAGGGGUGUGAAAUAUACAAAUUUGGCUGAAUUUCGGCGUAUCAAAAUGGGUUGACCGGUUAUUAGUCCCCCCUAAAAAAUAUUUAGAUUGAGAUGAGUUAAAUUAAGAUUAGCUAAAUAAUAUGCAUAACCCGACAAACCCACCUCUUAUCAAAUUUUGAUUUUUCUGUACGUUUUGUAAUUUAUUUAAUUACUAAUAAAACUUAUGAAUUUCCCCCAUUUAUUGGAUAUAUAUAUAUAUAUAUAUAUAUAUAUAUAUGUGUGUGUGUGUGUGAAGGCAAUAAAUUAGAAGGCAGUAAGCACUCUACCCAUUUUGUCUUUUCCUUAAAUACUCUUAAAUUUUAAUUUCAACUUCAUUAGUGACAGGUUUUUUUGGUCAUUUGCGCUAAAGCAAAAUUUACUCUCUCUCCCCCAAUUUUCCUACCUAUCUCUUCUCUCUAGAUUAACUCUCUCUCACUUCUCUCUAGCAUUUGUUAAAAUUUGAAUGAGGAAUUAUAGUCUAUCGAAAUAUUGUAGCUUUUGUGAAUUGUAGCAACUGAUUUGAUGUGUACCUAGAUUGAAACUCGAGUUUCUUAGAUCUGGAAUUUCGAAUGUGGUAGUAUUGGUUCCUAACUUUUGUUGUUCUUUUCACUAAACUAAGUAAUAAAAUUAAGCUUUCACUUUUCUUGAAUUAAAGAUAACAAUUUUUGACACAGUAACAAUCUUCAAUUAAAAUCUACUUAAAAGAAAGUCAACACCUUCAUUCCCUUUCUCCUUCGCAAAAGGUGCAUGAUUACACAAGAGAGAGACAGAAAGAGGAAGAAGAGCAUGGAUUACAAGAUGGUAUACUGUUGGAUCUGAUUUUCUUUAAAAAGACCAAAAUAUACCUUUAUUAAAUGUAUUGCAGUAAGCUUUUAAGAAUAUUUAAGGAAAAGACAAAAUGGGUAUGAUGGGAACAUACUACCUUACCAUAGAAAGCUCGCCGGAGAAAGUCAGGUGCAGUCGGUAAGCUCUAUUUGGCCCGGUUCUG
This 1271-nucleotide long non-coding RNA is filed under the name Nicotiana benthamiana. RNAcentral describes it as "long non-coding RNA (NBEN_LNC017484)". The record is from RNAcentral. Lineage: Eukaryota; Viridiplantae; Streptophyta; Magnoliopsida; Solanales; Solanaceae.